AGUGAACGCUGGCGGUAUGCCUAACACAUGCAAGUCGAACGGGAGCACAGUAAGAGCUUGCUCGUACGGGUGGCGAGUGGCGGACGGGUGAGGAAGACAGCGGAAUCUACUUUUUCUUGGGGGAUAACGGAGGUAAACUUACGCUACUACCGCAUACGACCUACGGGUGAAAAGAGGGGAUCUUCGGACCUGUCGCGAUUGAAUGAGCCGAUGUCGGAUUAGCUAGUGGGCGGGGUAAAGGCCCACUAAGGCGACGCUCCGUAGAUGGUCUGAGAGCGUGAUCAGCCACACUGGAAGUGAGACACGGUCCCGACUCCUACGGGAGGAAGCAGUGGGGAAUCUUGGACAAUGGGCGCGAGCCUGAUAUAGCCCUACCGGGUGGGUGAUGAAGGCGUUCGGGCGGUAAAGCCAUUUUGUUGGGAGAGAAGAGAAGCAGGUUAAUCCCCCGAGGUUCUGACGGUACCCAAAGAAUAAGCACCGGCUAACUACGUG
Molecule: ribosomal RNA, 492 nt
Filed under: uncultured bacterium
Lineage: Bacteria
Description: partial 16S ribosomal RNA
Rfam family: Bacterial small subunit ribosomal RNA
Source: RNAcentral